Molecule: ribosomal RNA, 464 nt
Filed under: Actenicerus pruinosus
Lineage: Eukaryota; Metazoa; Arthropoda; Insecta; Coleoptera; Elateridae
Description: partial 16S ribosomal RNA
Rfam family: Archaeal large subunit ribosomal RNA
Source: RNAcentral
UAAAUUGCCGCGGUAUUUUGACCGUGCAAAGGUAGCAUAAUAAUUAGUUUUUUUAUUGAAAGCUGGAAUGAAUGAUUGGACGAGAAAUUUUCUGUCUCAGUUGGACUUAUUUUUAAAUUUAACUUCUAAGUUAAAAGGCUUAGAUUUUAUUCAAAGACGAGAAGACCCUAUAGAGUUUGAUAGCUUUUUCUUAUAGAAAGUUUUUGGUUAUUUAUUUUUUCUAUUCUUUAUGUUAUUUAGUUGGGGUGACUUGAAGAUUAUUAAAACUCUUCUAUUAUUUUAUCAUUGAUUUAUGAUUAUUGAAUCUAGUUUUUUUAAAUUUAAAAUUAAUUACCUUAGGGAUAACAGCGUAAUUUCUUUUUAGAGUUCUUAUUGAAAAGGAAGUUUGCGACCUCGAUGUUGGAUUAAAAUUUAUUUUUGGUGUAGCAGCUGAAAUAUUGGGUCUGUUCGACCUUUAAAAUUUU